CCUACGGGUGGCAGCAGUGAGGAAUAUUGGUCAAUGGUCGGAAGACUGAACCAGCCAUGCCGCGUGAAGGUGACGGCCCUAUGGGUCUUAAACUUCUUUUGUGAGGGAGCAAUAAGGUUCACGUGUGGACUGAUGAGAGUACCUCACGAAUAAGCAUCGGCUAACUCCGUGCCAGCAGCCGCGGUAAUACGGGGGAUGCAAGCGUUAUCCGGAUUUAUUGGGUUUAAAGGGUGCGUAGGCGGCCUGUUAAGUCAGCGGUGAAAUACAGGGGCUCAACCUCUGCCGUGCCGUUGAUACUGGCAAGCUGGAAUGCGGAUGCCGUGGGAGGAAUGUGUGGUGUAGCGGUGAAAUGCAUAGAUAUCACACAGAACACCGAUUGCGAAGGCAUCUCACGAAUCCGCUAUUGACGCUGAUGCACGAAAGCGUGGGGAUCAAACAGG
This 440-nucleotide ribosomal RNA is filed under the name uncultured bacterium. RNAcentral describes it as "bacterial SSU rRNA". It matches the Rfam family "Bacterial small subunit ribosomal RNA", at positions 338 to 776 of the family's 1533-position model. The record is from RNAcentral.